This 92-nucleotide transfer RNA is filed under the name SAR202 cluster bacterium. Its description in RNAcentral is "tRNA-Ser". It matches the Rfam family "tRNA". Rfam says of the family: Transfer RNA (tRNA) molecules are approximately 80 nucleotides in length. Their secondary structure includes four short double-helical elements and three loops (D, anti-codon, and T loops). Further hydrogen bonds mediate the characteristic L-shaped molecular structure. tRNAs have two regions of fundamental functional importance: the anti-codon, which is responsible for specific mRNA codon recognition, and the 3' end, to which the tRNAs corresponding amino acid is attached (by aminoacyl-tRNA synthetases). tRNAs cope with the degeneracy of the genetic code in two manners: having more than one tRNA (with a specific anti-codon) for a particular amino acid; and 'wobble' base-pairing, i.e. permitting non-standard base-pairing at the 3rd anti-codon position. Lineage: Bacteria; Bacillati; Chloroflexota; Dehalococcoidia. The record is from RNAcentral.
GGAGGGGUCGCAUAGUGGUCUAGUGCGGGCGCCUGCUAAGCGCUUAGAAGGAGAAAUCUUUCUCAUGGGUUCGAAUCCCAUUCCCUCCGCCA